This is a long non-coding RNA of Mya arenaria, 1073 nucleotides long. RefSeq lists it as uncharacterized. The transcript is spliced from 4 exons. The record is from RefSeq and is a predicted model, not a curated record. NCBI's taxonomy places the organism in Eukaryota, Metazoa, Mollusca, Bivalvia, Myida, Myidae.
AUUUUGUAAGCGCCCUGCCUAAGAGUGUGGCAUGGACUUCAGCUGGAUUAAAUGUGUAUUACCCGGGAGGAACUGUAAAGAACCAGUCAGACAGCCCGCCCGCCGAGCUGCCCACCGGCCGAGCUGUACUUUGUGUAUGCCAACAUGCCGACAUGCUGUAAUUUGUUAGUACUUCAAGAUCAUAAUUGUAUCCAAACUGAAGAAUAAUUUAACGAGCCUGGUUGCUGUAGCCACAGGGGAAUUUUCAUGGACAAGAACCAGUGCUGGUAAAAAUGUGGUCUCAUGUGGUUUUCCAUACCGGCAUUCAGCAAGGAUUUCAGAGAAAGGAAUACUGUCUCCAAUAUGUGUUGCAUAUAGCCUGCAGAUGAACUAUAUGAGUUUUGAAGUCUGUUUCCCCUUCUAUCAUGCAAUGAAUAUUAAUGACUAUGUAUGUGGUACAUGUACUUUCAAAAAACUGAAGCCUUCAGGAAGUCAAUGCCACCAUGGUAUUGAUUUAUUCAGCUCUGAUGUACUCAGCUGUGAUGUAACAUGCCUUCAAGCAGCCACUAUCCGAAGAACAUUCAGACGUUCUAAAUGGACCAUUGCCCUGUUGCCAUGGAAAUCAUUAUGAGGAGAGCACACAAACUGUCACUUGUUUUGGAUAUCAGAUGUAUCACGAACUGACCAUAAACUUUUCAGAUGCUCUGUUUAUUUCAUCAGCCAAUUUCGAUGUAAAUUUUACUGAAUAAUGACAAACAGUCUUAAUCAUAAGCAUCCCUUACUCAUUUCUGCAAUGUCCACAUUUUUUUGUACCAGUUGUUGCUUUAUACUGAAACCUUUAUUGAAAAUGGUGCAUAAACACUGACAACACAUCAAUGUUUUGUUCAUACAUUUGUACAUGUUCUUUCAGUGUUGAUAAUGUUGACAUAUUUCAUGUACAUUUACACAUGUGUUUAUUGCCAACCUCAUCAAAACAUGCAUAGUUUGCUCACAUACAUAUUUCCAAAACAGACAUUUACUGAAUGUAUUACUACUUUACCGUUGAUUUUGAUAUGUAAAUAAAAGAUUGUACUACUUGUUUGUACAAAACACUU